RNAcentral lists this ribosomal RNA (252 nucleotides) under uncultured bacterium. RNAcentral's name for it is "partial 16S ribosomal RNA". It matches the Rfam family "Bacterial small subunit ribosomal RNA", at positions 524 to 776 of the family's 1533-position model. The record is from RNAcentral.
UACGUAGGGUGCAAGCGUUAAUCGGAAUUACUGGGCGUAAAGCGUGCGCAGGCGGUGAUGUAAGACAGGUGUGAAAUCCCCGGGCUUAACCUGGGAACUGCAUUUGUGACUGCAUCGCUGGAGUGCGGCAGAGGGGGAUGGAAUUCCGCGUGUAGCAGUGAAAUGCGUAGAUAUGCGGAGGAACACCGAUGGCGAAGGCAAUCCCCGUGGCUGCACUGACGCUCAUGCACGAAAGCGUGGGGAGCAAACAGG